UACGUAGGGGGCUAGCGUUGUCCGGAAUCAUUGGGCGUAAAGAGCGUGUAGGCGGUCCGGUAAGUCCGCUGUGAAAGUCGGGGGCUCAACCCUCGAAUGCCGGUGGAUACUGUCGGGCUAGAGUGCGGAAGAGGCGAGUGGAAUUCCUGGUGUAGCGGUGAAAUGCGCAGAUAUCAGGAGGAACACCUAUUGCGAAGGCAGCUCGCUGGGACGUGACUGACGCUGAGACGCGAAAGCGUGGGGAGCAAACAGG
This 253-nucleotide ribosomal RNA is filed under the name uncultured bacterium. Its description in RNAcentral is "partial 16S ribosomal RNA". It matches the Rfam family "Bacterial small subunit ribosomal RNA", at positions 524 to 776 of the family's 1533-position model. The record is from RNAcentral.